This is a long non-coding RNA of Quercus lobata, 2764 nucleotides long. RefSeq lists it as uncharacterized. The transcript is spliced from 2 exons. The record is from RefSeq and is a predicted model, not a curated record. Lineage: Eukaryota; Viridiplantae; Streptophyta; Magnoliopsida; Fagales; Fagaceae.
CUCUCUCUCUCUCUCUCUCUCUCUCUCUAGAAACCAGAAAGCAUUUUCUUCUUCUUCCCAUAAAAAACAAAGUAGUGGGUGCCCUUUUCUACUCUUCUACAAUUCUAUCUUCUUCAAAUCUCCUUUAUUUUCUCUUGGGGUUGACUGUUGACUUUAUACUUCGUCUGAGGAUUCGGGUCUAGAUCUGAAUUCCUCAAGCUUUGACAUAUAAUUGAUUGACAACGAGAGAGAGCACGCUUGUAAGCAUUCAUGAAACGGUCAUGACUGUGUACAUGCGUGCUCGUUCUCGUUGUCAUGCAAUUUCCCAACUGCAGCAGGUUUCUUUGGUCUGUAUACAUGUUAUUGGGCAUCUGGGUAGCAGGUGGUUUUGAUCUCUUAUGUACACUAAUUCAAAAUAUAGAAUACUUAAUAUAACUCUAGGUCUAUAGAACCUAUAUGGAAAUUAAGAAUGUUUGUGUGAAUAUACAAAUUCAAAAUAUAGAAUCCGUAUAACUUUAUAUCUAUAAUGCCUAUAUGGCAUGGCAAUUAAGAAUGUGUGUGUGUGUGUGUUAAGUUCAUGUUAUACCUAGUGUAAGCUUUGUUAAUGUUAAAUUACUUUUUAUUGUAUGUUAUUUUUCAAAAAAAAAAAAAUCCAUCAUUGGAUUACAUUGUUUUCUUAUAUACACUUAUGCUUGCAAAAUAUUACUAAAUUUCAAGAUGAUUAAACUACUAAUAACUAUUUCAUCUAUAACUUAAAAAAAAAAAAUUAUACACAAAAUAUAAGUUUAUAUAUGCUAACUAACCAAGCUCUCUCUCUCUCUCUCUCUCUCUCUCUAAUAUUAUUUUAAACUUAUAAAAAAGGUUAUAUAUUAGGUAGUAAAUACUAUUUGAUUACCACAUAAUUUUGGUGUACAUGUUAAACUUGUAAUCCAAUAGUGGGAUUUGAAAAAUGGAAAUUCAUUAGAAAAAUAUUUAAGUGGUGUAACAUUAACAAAAUGAAAAUGUUACUAUAGGUGUAAUUAAAGAUCUUAAGAGGGAUUUGAAAAAUAUCAAUUCAAUUUAAGUGGUGUAACAUUGUCAAAAUGUUACUUUGGUGUAAUUUGAUCUUUACCAUAUGCAUAUGGGCUUAUGUAAGAUCAACCUGCCGUGAAAGAUGAAAUCCCAUUUUGGGUACAGCUACUUAAUUGGCUUGAAUUUUUCUAAAUAUUAAUGCUCAUUUUGUAAUUUAUUUUUUUAUAUUCAUUAAUUUCAUAGCUUUUUAAUUGCACACAACCUUUUUUGGUUGUUCAUAGCCUUUUUAUAUUUUUGAAUAGGCAGAAAAAGUAUUUUAUCUGGUGAUCCCUUUAAGAAACAUGCGUGGUUUGUUGACACCAACACCCCCCCCCAAAAAAAAACCAAAAAAAAAAAAAAAAAUCCUUUUUUACUUGCUCUUGUUGGAAUUUUCGGUAAUUUAAGGAAUUAUUUUAUAGAAACAUUAAAGGGCUCUGAUAUCUCUUGGGUUUUGCCUUAAUAGUUGGACUUUAUAGAGGGGUCACACACACACACAUUCUCUCUAGCCAUGCAAUGGUUGUGUCAUUAUAAUGUAUAACUACUCUAUAAAGCAUUAGAUGGGCUUUGUACAGUUUACAAACACAAGGUGGUUUUUUAAAUUUUUUUAUUUUUAAUAUUAAGGGUUUACUAAGAAAGUGCAAUUGGGGAGGGCACAACACAUGAAGUUCAGGUAAAUUUUGAAAAAGAAUAUUGUCUUGUGGCCUUCAUCUAGAUAAGGAUCUAAGGAAUAAUAUAUAUCAGGUCUAAAAUUGGUAUUUCAGUGUUUCCUUCCCUCCAAAUAAUCACAUGAGACAAUGAGGGAUUGCAGACAAUGAGAAGCUUGUAAGUUUUGUCUUACAUGUUUUUUUCCAUGUUUGUGCCUGUCAUAGAAUUAUUAAUGGACAAAUCUUUCAAUGUUCAAAUUUCUUUUCCUUUUUCCUUUGUUUUUGCUAGGGCAUAUAUGUGGUAUAUUAAACAUUUGUUUUCACAUUUGUUUUCAAAGAUGGUUUUAGUCUUUUAGAUCAUAUUAGGUUUGUGAUUUAAUAUCUAGAAAUCUGUCCUUUUCAUCUCAUUUCCAAAGUCCUAGUGUGUAAGAAUUAUUUCUUUCCAAGUUGGUUGGCAUAACCUGGCAAAUAGCUCUAAGUAGUGGUGCCGGUCACUGUCACUCAUUUGCAUCAUAGAAGUUGCUGCAUAUGCAGAGCUCAGAAAUGAUUGAAUAAAAUUGUAAUUGAGUUGGAAAGAAGCCAGUUGUUGUGUGAGUUGUUGAAAAUGGUUGACACAAUUAGAAGGUGGUAUCCUAUUUUAGAGUGCAAAUAAUGUGUUUGAUCUUUCAUUUUCAGAGGUAGCAUGCAAUAGCGAGUAUGUAAAAAGAUUUUUUCUAUGAAAUAAUUUAUGAAACAUCAUAAAUGGGAAAUAAUUUUUCUUCUUUGGGGGUGGCAACAUUUUGAGCCAAACUGUCAUAGAUUUCCUUUAUAUGUGCUCUAUUCAAGUGAAUCUUUUGUAUAUCUUUCAUUUUUCUCUAGUUAUUUUGGCCAUCCUACUUGUUCUAUGAAAUGGUCCAUAUAUUUAAGAAAUAAUUUUAUUUUUCUUUAUACUCUCAAAUUGUAUAUCUUUACAAUGUUGACAUUCAUAUAUUCUUGCUACUCAUAGGAAAAAGGUCUUGUAAUGGUAUGAUUAGCUACAAGAGUAGCAGGAUGCCAGUUUUAAUUAUAGGGAAGAAGAAAAUAAAAAUAUGUAGAGCAAUUGAACAUUGCUU